Molecule: long non-coding RNA, 1590 nt
Organism: Nicotiana attenuata
Lineage: Eukaryota; Viridiplantae; Streptophyta; Magnoliopsida; Solanales; Solanaceae
Exons: 2
Source: RefSeq, a predicted model, not a curated record
AUCCCCCAAACAACAAAUCAUUCUCUUCAUCAUCACACACUCUCUCUCGCUCUUAACUUUUCUUCUCCUCCCCCUAAAAGAAAGGCGAAAGUCUUGGGGGAUAAAAAGAUAAGAGAGGGACAGAGAGGAAACUACACAAAUAAGGAGAAAAAAGAACUCCUAACAAUCAAGAAAGGGAGCUUUUCUAUUGUGGGGAAUGUUGUCUGGCUCGAGGAAUCUUUAAUCUUGAUCAAAUUCUUUACACAGAUCUAGUAUUAUAUAUGUUGUAUAUAUUUUUAGAUCUUAUAUAGAUCUAUAAUUGCUAGUUGUUAGAUCUAUGAAUUUGGUCAUAUAUUUUUGCGUCGUCGGACCAGGCUUCAUUCCCCUCAAAGAUUGCUGCCAUAUAUUAGUAUCGCGAUUAAGAUCUUUUUUGGUAUAUAAAUAAGAUUUAUCGUCAACUCGAAGGCACAUGUAACAACUGAUUGAUCUAUUGAUUAAUCUUGUAUUCAUUCACAGUUAAUCGUUUCCACUAUCAGUAUAAAUUAACUUGUUUUUAAAAUGCUACACUUGUCCUAUUUUGCAGGUUUUUAGUAUUACCGUUGACAAUGGGUAGCUUUAAAUACUUUUAGUAACUUGAUAAUGCAAAAGAUUAUUAUACUUUCAAUGCAAAGAAGUUAACCCUGUGAACACUACUUCUAGCGGUUGUAUAUGGAAAAGUAUACAACCUACUUGCUAGAGUAUUUUCUUUUUUUUUUUUUUGGUUGUGCAAACAGGACUAGGUUUAAUUAUUCCUAUAGCUCUUAGGUUUGAGUUGAGAAAACAAGACAAUGAAAAACAUCUGACUAGAAAUGAAGUAAAUGAAUGAUAUAAAAAGGUGAGGUAGACAUCCUGCUGAGAAAAGAGAUAAGCUAUGUAAACCUAUAGGAGAUAUGACAACAAUUAAGUGUAGGCUUUCCACUACCCUCCUGCAUUUUAAGAAAAACCAAAACAAAGUUCAUUAAGAAUCUAGAAAACCUAGAUUUCUGAAGUAGUAAUAACUUAGUUCCAUUUAAAUCAUUAAUGAUUAAUGUUUCAAGAAAUUAUGCAGUCAUUUGGUUAAUUGGUGUUUAUCACAAUAUUUGAAAGAAAGAACAUUGCCGGUUCUUCAUGCUCUUUCAGCAACGCCCAAAAGGUAUUGAUGGCCUUUGAACCGAUCAAAAUGGCAGUUCGGUGCACGAAGUAUCCGCGUUCACGCAGGGUUCAGGGAAGAGUCGCACUUUAAGGGGUGUGAUGUAGGUGACCUAUCCUAAUGCAAAAUUUCACGACCUUUGAACGGAUGGUGAUCAAGAAAUUGUUAGAAAAUGACAGAUAAGAGAAAGACUUGGUGAUUUUGAAUCUUUUUGACUUUACAAGCUUGAAAGUGGGAAUGUUAGCUUUUGUGUUACUAGUUUUUUACACACAUACACACUCACAAAGAAAGUUAGCUCGAUUUUGAUGCAUGAAUGGUCCAUUCGUUGACUAUUUACUACAUUGUCUGAUGCAUUAGAGAAAAGCUUUGAGAGUAUAACAUAUAAACUGUGCCUCUACCCAUUACUUGCAGCAUAAAGAAAUACUGAUAAUAUCUUACUUUUA